RNAcentral lists this ribosomal RNA (497 nucleotides) under uncultured bacterium. Its description in RNAcentral is "partial 16S ribosomal RNA". It matches the Rfam family "Bacterial small subunit ribosomal RNA", at positions 28 to 507 of the family's 1533-position model. The record is from RNAcentral.
GAUGAACGCUGGCGGCGUGCCUAAUACAUGCAAGUCGAGCGAACAGACGAGGAGCUUGCUCCUUUGACGUUAGCGGCGGACGGGUGAGUAACACGUGGACAACCUACCUAUAAGACUGGGAUAACUUCGGGAAACCGGAGCUAAUACCGGAUAAUAUAUUGAACUGCAUGGUUCAAUAGUGAAAGACGGUUUUGCUGUCACUUAUAGAUGGAUCCGCGCCGCAUUAGCUAGUAGGUAAGGUACCGGCUUACCAAGGCAACAAUGCGUAGCCGACCUGAGAGGGUGAUCGGCCACCCGGGAACUGGGACACGCUCCGGACUCCUACGGGGGGAAGCAGUAGGGAAUCUUCCGCAAUGGGGAAAGGCCUGACGGGGCAACGCCGCGGAAGUGAUGAAGGUCUUCGGAUCGUAAAACUCUGUUAUUGGGGAAGAACAAAUUUGUAAGUAACUAUGCACGUCUUGACGGUACCUAAUCAGAAAGCCACGGCUAACUACGUG